Molecule: ribosomal RNA, 1461 nt
Filed under: Staphylococcus saprophyticus
Lineage: Bacteria; Bacillati; Bacillota; Bacilli; Caryophanales; Staphylococcaceae
Description: bacterial SSU rRNA
Rfam family: Bacterial small subunit ribosomal RNA
Source: RNAcentral
UCCUGGGGGGGUGCUAUACAUGCAGUCGAGCGAACAGAUAAGGAGCUUGCUCCUUUGACGUUAGCGGCGGACGGGUGAGUAACACGUGGGUAACCUACCUAUAAGACUGGGAUAACUUCGGGAAACCGGAGCUAAUACCGGAUAACAUUUGGAACCGCAUGGUUCUAAAGUGAAAGAUGGUUUUGCUAUCACUUAUAGAUGGACCCGCGCCGUAUUAGCUAGUUGGUAAGGUAACGGCUUACCAAGGCGACGAUACGUAGCCGACCUGAGAGGGUGAUCGGCCACACUGGAACUGAGACACGGUCCAGACUCCUACGGGAGGCAGCAGUAGGGAAUCUUCCGCAAUGGGCGAAAGCCUGACGGAGCAACGCCGCGUGAGUGAUGAAGGGUUUCGGCUCGUAAAACUCUGUUAUUAGGGAAGAACAAAUGUGUAAGUAACUGUGCACAUCUUGACGGUACCUAAUCAGAAAGCCACGGCUAACUACGUGCCAGCAGCCGCGGUAAUACGUAGGUGGCAAGCGUUAUCCGGAAUUAUUGGGCGUAAAGCGCGCGUAGGCGGUUUCUUAAGUCUGAUGUGAAAGCCCACGGCUCAACCGUGGAGGGUCAUUGGAAACUGGGAAACUUGAGUGCAGAAGAGGAAAGUGGAAUUCCAUGUGUAGCGGUGAAAUGCGCAGAGAUAUGGAGGAACACCAGUGGCGAAGGCGACUUUCUGGUCUGUAACUGACGCUGAUGUGCGAAAGCGUGGGGAUCAAACAGGAUUAGAUACCCUGGUAGUCCACGCCGUAAACGAUGAGUGCUAAGUGUUAGGGGGUUUCCGCCCCUUAGUGCUGCAGCUAACGCAUUAAGCACUCCGCCUGGGGAGUACGACCGCAAGGUUGAAACUCAAAGGAAUUGACGGGGACCCGCACAAGCGGUGGAGCAUGUGGUUUAAUUCGAAGCAACGCGAAGAACCUUACCAAAUCUUGACAUCCUUUGAAAACUCUAGAGAUAGAGCCUUCCCCUUCGGGGGACAAAGUGACAGGUGGUGCAUGGUUGUCGUCAGCUCGUGUCGUGAGAUGUUGGGUUAAGUCCCGCAACGAGCGCAACCCUUAAGCUUAGUUGCCAUCAUUAAGUUGGGCACUCUAAGUUGACUGCCGGUGACAAACCGGAGGAAGGUGGGGAUGACGUCAAAUCAUCAUGCCCCUUAUGAUUUGGGCUACACACGUGCUACAAUGGACAAUACAAAGGGCAGCUAAACCGCGAGGUCAUGCAAAUCCCAUAAAGUUGUUCUCAGUUCGGAUUGUAGUCUGCAACUCGACUACAUGAAGCUGGAAUCGCUAGUAAUCGUAGAUCAGCAUGCUACGGUGAAUACGUUCCCGGGUCUUGUACACACCGCCCGUCACACCACGAGAGUUUGUAACACCCGAAGCCGGUGGAGUAACCAUUUAUGGAGCUAGCCGUCGAAAGGUGGAACAAAAAACA